Molecule: non-coding RNA, 320 nt
Organism: Pelobates cultripes (western spadefoot toad)
Lineage: Eukaryota; Metazoa; Chordata; Amphibia; Anura; Pelobatidae
Source: the annotation of a GenBank genome assembly
GUUUGUCCCUGAGUCCAGUGGGGAUGCCCCCUCUGGCCCCUCCUUGUGACAUGUCUCUUUCGUUUCUCAAAGUACUUCUUGUGAUCUUGCGUGGAGGAGAAACUGUGUUGGCUACCUCCUCCACCGCCGCUUCCACCUACACCGCCACAGUCACUGCCUCCUCAACCGAUGGGUCAAUUAGUAUAAACUAUGUACACAAUAGCAGAGGCUUUUGCAGGCCUUUUCUCCAUGCAUCAGGAGUUGAGCUCAGUUUGAACAAUGAAAGAGAAUACCCUGCUCUCCAACCCUCUCUCAAAUUGAUAAUUCUGGUGAUCCUCCUG